RNAcentral lists this transfer RNA (72 nucleotides) under Ixodes scapularis (black-legged tick). It matches the Rfam family "tRNA". Rfam says of the family: Transfer RNA (tRNA) molecules are approximately 80 nucleotides in length. The record is from Rfam by way of RNAcentral. Lineage: Eukaryota; Metazoa; Arthropoda; Arachnida; Ixodida; Ixodidae.
UCCUGGUUAGCUCAGUUGCUAGAGCACUCAACUGGAAAUUGGGAGGUCCCGGGUUCGAUAUCGGACCAAGCG